Molecule: ribosomal RNA, 542 nt
Filed under: Helvella terrestris
Lineage: Eukaryota; Fungi; Ascomycota; Pezizomycetes; Pezizales; Helvellaceae
Description: eukaryotic LSU rRNA
Rfam family: Eukaryotic large subunit ribosomal RNA
Source: RNAcentral
AAAUCUGGGGUCGACGGCCCCCGAGUUGUAAUUUGUAGGGGCACCUUUGGGGGGGACAGCCGGGCGGAUGUUCCUUUGGAACAGGACGUCGCAGAGGGUGAGAAUCCCGUACCUGCUCAGGCUGCUCCCACCCUCCUUCGGUACCUUCGACGAGUCGAGUUGUUUGGGAAUGCAGCUCCAAGCGGGUGGUAAAUUUCACCUAAGGCUAAAUACCGGCGAGAGACCGAUAGCGCACAAGUAGAGUGAUCGAAAGAUGAAAAGCACUUUGAAAAUAGAGUCAAAAAGUACGUGAAAUUGUUGAAAGGGAAGCGCUUGGGACCAGCCUCGGGCUGGGGGUAAUCAUCGCGCCCUCAGGGGCCGUGCACUUGCCCCCGCCCGGGCCAGCAUCAGUUGACGUGGCGGGACAACCGCCCGGGAAAUGUGGCCCCGUGACCUGGGGUGUUAUUUAGGCCCGGGCUCAACGCCGUCAACGUCGACUGAGGAUCGCGCCUAGGCUCGAAUGCUGGCUUAAUGGUCUUCAGCGACCCGUCUUGAAACACGGA